GCCUUGUCACCGUUCCUUGCGGGUACUGUGGCGAAGGGCGUGGGUGUGGCGAAAGGGGUACAGAGGCUGGGCUGGCUCCACGGCCCGCCAGCUUUGAAGCAACUCAUUUUCGCCCAAAGCCCUUACCACCGUACCUUGCGGGUACUGGUGUGGGAGUGGCGAAAGGGGUCCAGAGGCUUGGCUGCCUUCGCGGCCCCCCACCUUGGACUUAACUCAUUUUCGCCCCCAGCCCUUGUCGCCGUACUGUGGCGAAGGGUGUGGGUGUGGCGAAAGGGGUCCAGUAGCUGGGCUGGCUUCGCGGCCCCCAGCUUGGACAUAACUCCUUUUCUCCUCCAGCCCUUGUCGCCGUACCUUGCGGGGCGUGGGAGUGGCGAAAGGAGUCCAGAGGCUAGGGUGGCUUCGAAUCCCCCAAGCCUGGAAGCAACUCAUUUUCGCCCCCAGCCCUUGUCGCCGUACCUUUCGGGUACUGUGGCGAAGGGUGUGGGUGUGGCGAAAGGGGUCCAGAGGCUGGGCUGGCUUUGCGGCCCCCAGCUUGGAUUUAACUCAUUUUCGCCCCCAGCCCUUGUCACCGAACCUUGUGGGUGUGGCGAAAGGGGUCCAGAGGCUGCGCUGGCUCCGCGGCCCCCCAACUUGCACUUUACUCCUUUUCGCCCCCAGCCCUUAUCGUCGUACCUUGCGGGUACUGUGGCGCAGGGUGUGGGUGUGGCGAAAGGGGUCCAGAGGCUGGGCUGGCUUCACGGCCCCCAGCUUGGACUUAAAUCCUUUUUGCUCCCAGCCCUUGUCGUCGUACCUUGCGGGUACUUUUGCGGUGGUCGUGGGUGUGUCGAAAGGGGUCUAGAGGCUACGGCGGCUUCGAAUCCCCCCAGCUUAGAAGCAACUCAUUUUCGCCCCCAGCCUUUUUCGCCGUACCUUGCGGGUACUGUGGCGAAGGGUGUGGGUGUGGCGAAAGAGGUCCAGAGGCUGGGCUGGCUUCACGGCCCCCAGCUUGGACUUAACUCCUUUUCGCCCCCAGCCCUUGUCGUCCCCUUUUCGCCGUACCUUGCGGGUACUGUGGCGAAGGUUGUGGGUGUGGCGAAAGAGGUCCAGAGGCUGAGCUGGCUUCACGGCCCCCAGCUUGGACUUAACUCCUUUUCGCCCCAAGCUCUUGUCGUCGUACCUUGUGGGUACUGUGGCGAAGGGUGUGGGUGUGGUGAAACUGGUCCAGAGGCUGGGCUGGCUUCGCGGCACCCAGCUUGGACUAAACUCCUUUUCGCCCCCAGCCCUUGUCGCCGGCGUGGGAGUGGCGUAAGGAGUCCAGAGGUUAGGGCGGCUUCGAAUCCCCCAAGCCUGGAAGCAACUCAUUUUCGCCCCCAGCCCGUGUCGCCGUACCUUUCGGGUACUGUGGCGAAGGGUGUGGGUGUGGCGAAAGGGAGGAUAGGGCGGCUUCGAAGGCCCGCAGCUUGGAAGCAACUCAUCUUCACCCCCAGCCCUUGUCGCCGCACCUUGCGGGUACUGUCGCGAAGGGUGUGGGUGUGGCGAAAGGGGUCCAGAGGCUGGGCUGGCUUCGCGGCCCUCAGCUUGGACUUAACUCCUGUUCGACCCCAGCCCUUAUCGCCGUACCUUGCCGGUACUAUGGCGAAGGGCGUGGGUGUGGCGAAAGGGAUCCAGAGGAAAGGGCGGCUUCGACGCCCCCUAGCUUGGAAGCAACUCAUCUUCGCCCCCAGCCCUUCUCGCCGUAACUUGCGGGUACUGUGGCGAAGGGUGUGGGUGUGGCGAAAGGGGUCCAGAGGCUGGGCUGGCUUCGUGGCCCCCAGGUUGGACUUUACUCCUUUUGGCCCCCGGCCCUUAUCGCCGUACCUUGCGGGUACUGUGGCGAAGGGUGUGGGUGUGGCGAAAGAGGGGUCCAGAGGCUGGGCUGGCAUCCCGGGCCUCCAGCUUGGACUUAACUCCUUUUCGCCCCAACCCCUUGUCGCCGAACCUUGCGGGUACUGUGGCGAAGGGCGUGGUUGUGGCGAAAGUGGUACAGAGGCUGGGCUAGCUCCGCAGCCCCCUAGCUUGGAAGCAACUCAUUUUCACCCCCAGCCCUUGUCGCCGUACCUUGCCGGUACAGUGGCGAAGGGUGUCGGUGUGGCGAAAGGGGUCUAG
Molecule: long non-coding RNA, 2124 nt
Filed under: Oryza sativa Indica Group (long-grained rice)
Lineage: Eukaryota; Viridiplantae; Streptophyta; Magnoliopsida; Poales; Poaceae
Description: lncRNA OsLaMu_01g0016070
Source: RNAcentral